AAGGAAGGAGAGGCUGUUUCUACAGGUGUCAGAGAAAAAUCGAUACGGAGCCACGGAUUAUUGAAUCCCGUAGAACCAUGGAGGCUUGGCAGUGAAAUUCUUCCAAAGG
Capra hircus (goat) is the source of this 109-nucleotide unclassified non-coding RNA. The record is from Ensembl. NCBI's taxonomy places the organism in Eukaryota, Metazoa, Chordata, Mammalia, Artiodactyla, Bovidae.